GCAAGUCGAGGGGUAACAGGAGUGCUUGCACUUGCUGACGACCGGCGCACGGGUGCGUAACGCGUAUAUAACUUGCCUUUGUCUGGAAGAUAGCCCGGAGAAAUCCGGAUUAAUAUUCCAUGGUAUCUUAAGUGAGCAUUUACUAAAGAUUAAAGAUUUAUCGGACAGAGAUAGAUAUGCGUCCCAUUAGCUAGUUGGUAAGGUAACGGCUUACCAAGGCCGCGAUGGAUAGCUGGUCUAAGAGGAUGAUC
RNAcentral lists this ribosomal RNA (251 nucleotides) under uncultured bacterium. RNAcentral's name for it is "partial 16S ribosomal RNA". It matches the Rfam family "Bacterial small subunit ribosomal RNA", at positions 57 to 305 of the family's 1533-position model. The record is from RNAcentral.